RNAcentral lists this ribosomal RNA (445 nucleotides) under uncultured Clostridium sp. Its description in RNAcentral is "partial 16S ribosomal RNA". It matches the Rfam family "Bacterial small subunit ribosomal RNA", at positions 341 to 792 of the family's 1533-position model. The record is from RNAcentral. Lineage: Bacteria; Bacillati; Bacillota; Clostridia; Eubacteriales; Clostridiaceae.
ACGGGAGGCAGCAGUGGGGGAUAUUGGACAAUGGGGGCAACCCUGAUCCAGCGACGCCGCGUGAGUGAAGAAGUAUUUCGGUAUGUAAAGCUCUAUCAGCAGGGAAGAAAAAGCGCAAGCAUUGACUGUACCUGACUAAGAAGCCCCGGCUAACUACGUGCCAGCAGCCGCGGUAAUACGUAGGGGGCAAGCGUUAUCCGGAUUUACUGGGUGUAAAGGGAGUGUAGGCGGCUGCGCAAGUCAGAAGUGAAAGCCCGGGGCUUAACCCCGGGACUGCUUUUGAAACUGCGUAGCUUGAGUGCAGGAGAGGCAAGCGGAAUUCCUAGUGUAGCGGUGAAAUGCGUAGAUAUUAGGAAGAACACCGGUGGCGAAGGCGGCUUGCUGGACUGAGACUGACGCUGAGGCUCGAAAGCGUGGGGAGCAAACAGGAUUAGAUACCCUGGUA